UAAAAUCGUUGAAACUACCUCUACUUCUAUCCACUUGGUGAAGUAAUAUACACCUAAAAGUCAGAACUUUAUAUAUCUUGGGGUGGGUGGUAAUGGUCCUAAGACGUCGACUCUCAACAUGUAGAAUGGCCAUGAUGAGGUUACUAAAUUGGGGACCUCAACCAAGGCGUGACGUAGGUAUGAUAAUCUUUGGCACUUUUCGUACUUGUUGAUGAAGUUGGCAUUGUCCCUUAUCAGAAUGGAUCAAUAAUAUGUAGCCCUCAGUAACUUCCUAUCAAUUUCUCUUCCCCUAUGUGGCUUCGUUACACACUUUCGUGUACCUCUAUAUGUACCAACUUUGUCUCUUUCUCAUUGUUAAUGUUUCUCUUCUCAUAUUGUACAAAUUUCCAACAGCCAAAUUAUAUUUAUUAUACUUUUUCUUCUUCUUACAUCUUCUUCAUUUGAGGUAAAUUCUCACUUGUCAUGUACUGGAUCAUGGGUUCCAUACAACCCUUGCCACCUGCUUUUUCGAUAAGGUUAACUUCAUCAACUUCAAGACUGAAGAAAAGACGAUGACUGAGGUUUCGAGAGCUAAUCAAAGACGUUAAUUACCUAGUAUGCAUAUCUUUUAUGUGAUGAGCUUAACUUACCCCCUACAAAAAAUCCUCCAGCUAUAAUGUUGAGGUGUGAUGAACAGGUUCUCCUUUGCUUCUUUCUGAUGAUUCUUUAUCCCUCAUAGGUUGGGGGCUUCUUAGAUUAUCGGGCCUAAAAAGUCGAGCUCUUGCUCUACAACUGGAUGGAGCACUCUGGAUGUAUCUAUUGAGAUUCCCUUCCUAAGAUAUUUUAUUUCCUUCUUCAAUUUCUCAUAGUCACGUGUAUGAUGGCUUUUAACCUUGUAGUUAAUUUCCCAUAACCUCCCAUUUAGUGGUUCAAAAAUAGAUUUGGUGUGAAAUGCUUCUCACCAUAUUUGCUCUCUUAUUGUAUUUAUUAACAUGUAGUUUCCCACGAUUCUUUUAUGAGGUUUGAAGUACCCUCGUCUGUGAAUUGUUGUGGAUAAUUAUUCUUGUGUUGAUUAAAGGAGUUUGAUCUGCCA
Molecule: long non-coding RNA, 1072 nt
Organism: Lathyrus oleraceus (garden pea)
Lineage: Eukaryota; Viridiplantae; Streptophyta; Magnoliopsida; Fabales; Fabaceae
Exons: 2
Source: RefSeq, a predicted model, not a curated record